GAUCCUGGCUCAGGACGAACGCUGGCGGCGUGCCUAACACAUGCAAGUCGAACGGAGAAUUUUAUUUCGGUAGAAUUCUUAGUGGCGAACGGGUGAGUAACGCGUAGGCAACCUGCCCUUUAGACGGGGACAACAUUCCGAAAGGAGUGCUAAUACCGGAUGUGAUCAUCUUGCCGCAUGGCAGGAUGAAGAAAGAUGGCCUCUACAAGUAAGCUAUCGCUAAAGCAGUCGGC
RNAcentral lists this ribosomal RNA (233 nucleotides) under uncultured bacterium. RNAcentral describes it as "partial 16S ribosomal RNA". It matches the Rfam family "Bacterial small subunit ribosomal RNA", at positions 15 to 231 of the family's 1533-position model. The record is from RNAcentral.